GAUGAACGCUAGCUACAGGCUUAACACAUGCAAGUCGAGGGGAAACGACAUCGAAAGCCUGCUUUUGAUGGGCGUCGACCGGCGCACGGGUGAGUAACGCGUAUCCAACCUGCCCACCACUUGGGGAUAACCUUGCGAAAGUAAGACUAAUACCCAAUGACGUCUCUAGAAGACAUCUGAAAGAGAUUAAAGAUUUAUCGGUGAUGGAUGGGGAUGCGUCUGAUUAGCUUGUUGGCGGGGUAACGGCCCACCAAGGCGACGAUCAGUAGGGGUUCUGAGAGGAAGGUCCCCCACAUUGGAACUGAGACACGGUCCAAACGCCUACGGGAGGCAGCAGUGAGGAAUAUUGGUCAAUGGACGAGAGUCUGAACCAGCCAAGUAGCGUGCAGGAUGACGGCCCUAUGGGUUGUAAACUGCUUUUAUAAGGGAAUGAAGUGAGUCUCGUGAGACUUUUUGCAUGUACCUUAUGAAUAAGGACCGGCUAAUUCCGU
This 491-nucleotide ribosomal RNA is filed under the name uncultured bacterium. Its description in RNAcentral is "partial 16S ribosomal RNA". It matches the Rfam family "Bacterial small subunit ribosomal RNA", at positions 28 to 506 of the family's 1533-position model. The record is from RNAcentral.